This 338-nucleotide unclassified non-coding RNA is filed under the name Hevea brasiliensis (rubber tree). The record is from RNAcentral. Lineage: Eukaryota; Viridiplantae; Streptophyta; Magnoliopsida; Malpighiales; Euphorbiaceae.
AGUUGAAUCCUGAAACUAAUGUAAACAUCUUGUUCCUUCCCCUACAUUCCUAAGGGAUGAUAUAUCCACCAGUCUAUGUAUUCAAAUCACUUGGGAAAAAUGUCAGAAGAAAUUGUAUUAACUGUUCCAAAAGAUCUAGUCUUCUUAAGUUUUGGUCUUAAUCUUUUAAUAUGCUCUAACUUUUGAAGUAUUGAUGUGGUAUUUGAUUGAUUACUGUACAUUCAUGGCCUCUGACUGUAUCCUCAUGUCCAUGAUUAUGUAGUUUCUACAUUAAAAUGUUUGCGCACAUGUCAAUUAUAUGGCAAUGUUUAAUUGAAUCUUUUCAACUGUCUCACUGA